AUUGAACGCUGGCGGCAUGCCUUACACAUGCAAGUCGAACGGUAACAGGUCUUCGGAUGCUGACGAGUGGCGAACGGGUGAGUAAUACAUCGGAACGUGCCCGAUCGUGGGGGAUAACGAAGCGAAAGCUUUGCUAAUACUGCAUACGAUCUACGGAUGAAAGCAGGGGACCGCAAGGCCUUGCGCGAACGGAGCGGCCGAUGGCAGAUUAGGUAGUUGGUGGGAUAAAAGCUUACCAAGCCGACGAUCUGUAGCUGGUCUGAGAGGACGACCAGCCACACUGGGACUGAGACACGGCCCAGACUCCUACGGGAGGCAGCAGUGGGGAAUUUUGGACAAUGGGCGAAAGCCUGAUCCAGCCAUGCCGCGUGCAGGAUGAAGGCCUUCGGGUUGUAAACUGCUUUUGUACGGAACGAAAAGACUCUGGUUAAUACCUGGGGUCCAUGACGGUACCGUAAGAAUAAGCACCGGCUAACUACGUGCCAGCAGCCGCGGUAAUACGUAGGGUGCAAGCGUUAAUCGGAAUUACUGGGCGUAAAGCGUGCGCAGGCGGUUAUAUAAGACAGAUGUGAAAUCCCCGGGCUCAACCUGGGAACUGCAUUUGUGACUGUAUAGCUAGAGUACGGCAGAGGGGGAUGGAAUUCCGCGUGUAGCAGUGAAAUGCGUAGAUAUGCGGAGGAACACCGAUGGCGAAGGCAAUCCCCUGGGCCUGUACUGACGCUCAUGCACGAAAGCGUGGGGGAGCAAACAGG
This 752-nucleotide ribosomal RNA is filed under the name uncultured Comamonadaceae bacterium. RNAcentral describes it as "bacterial SSU rRNA". It matches the Rfam family "Bacterial small subunit ribosomal RNA", at positions 28 to 776 of the family's 1533-position model. The record is from RNAcentral. Lineage: Bacteria; Pseudomonadati; Pseudomonadota; Betaproteobacteria; Burkholderiales; Comamonadaceae.